CUUGAAACAAUAGACGCAUGCAUGUAGCACUGAGAGCUAGCCCAUUGUUUCCUGUUGCUGCUUGAUAUUGAUAUUAUUUGUGUUUUUCCGUACGGCUUCCUCAGGGGCCUGCUUGAUCCACUUCAAAUUCUUCCCCUGUUUUAUUAGAGGUUGAAAAAGGUCCAAGACCUGGUUGUACCACUGCUCCCACCGACGGCUAAGGAACCAGUUUGGCGUCUGGUUUGUCUGUUGUUUUACUGCUGACCUUCAAAUCAACUUUAACCCCUGACCCCUGGAGGCAUCUAUCAUGACAAGAGGCUGUUUAACACAAAUGGUGCCCAUUUAUAGGGGAAGAGAGUCAGAAGAUUUCCUUUUUAUGAAGAAUUUGGUUUUUCACCCCUCUUUUCUCAGUCACCACAGGUGAAAUCCCUCCUAGCAGCUGGCUUAUGAAAUAAUGUGAGGGGGGUGGCCCUAAUGAGCUGAAAGCACCCUCAGCUGGAGAUAAAUAUAUGCAAAUGAGAUGCACAAACAAAGGAGCCUGGACAGAGAAAUAUCUGCAAUUCCAGCAAAAUGCUGCCUGCAGCUAGAAGAUGAACAGCUUUGAUAAAAUGAAUUUCAACAAGUUUACAGAUCAGCAGCCAGCGUCUAUUGAGAAAGCAUGGAAAAUCAACAAUUAAAAAGGACUAAAGGAUUCCCACCUUAUGUCUUCCCAAGAUGGAUCAAGGAUACAAAGUCCAUUAAAAAGACUGUAGCAAAGAAAUCACACCGUAUCUCAUGAAUGAUAAAGUGUAAAAAGGCUUGCAAAUCACGUAUGGUGAUCCAACAUUCAUUGCCACGCUUACCUUUUUUGUUCACACUGCCACAAAAGUGACGACAAUUGCAAUGUAACUGGAAAUGAUUGUCAGUGGUAUUAUUAAACAAAAUGUACAUUUUAUUUUUUCUUUUCUUUUUAAUUUUUUUUAAUGUCAGUAGCCUACUGUGAAACAUAGCAGCCUUCUUUGUACCUGCCACCCCCACUAAAAAGACAAGCUGAAAUAAUGGGCUAAAAUACAAAAGAACUGUCUUUAAAGUGUAGCAGUUUAAUUUUUAUGUCUGCAUUAAUUGUGUUAUAUUAUAGUACUGGUCUUUAUAAUCUUACUGCUUUUUCCUGGUUUGACUAUAACAUUUCAGUGGCAGUAAUCCCAUCAUAGCAGUUGGAUAAAGCAUUACACUUUACAUAGCCACACAUACUUAACCCAACAUUCAGCAAGUUAAAUAAUCAUUAGCACAGUAACCCACUGCUAUCAAAAAUGUAUUGGUCCUCUAAAUUUAAAAUUAAUGGUCUGUCUUCCUAGCAGCAUAUGUCUGGUUUCUAACCAUUCAGCAUGAAGUCAGGGACAUUUUAUCAGUACACAUUAGACAACUUUUGUUAUUGGCAUUUAGAGACUAAAAAGUCACAGAUGGAAAUGGUUGUGGCUGAAUUUUUUUUUAUUUAUUUCUAGAACUCUGAUUUUAAAACAAUCUCUGUUCUGAGUGCUAAUUAUCAGCUGACAUUAUCAUGUACCUGCUGUCGAUAUGUAGCAGGGCUGCUAUGCCUUGAAAAGAUUUUUUUUUCUUUCAAAACCAAGUAAAUGGGAAAAUAAAGAGAAAAAGUUUUGUAAAAUAUUUGCUAAAGAAAGGUUAAUAACUUGUAUUUGUAUACUCUACUUUCAUUUAAUUUUUCAAAAAUAAGAAGUUUACCAUUUAUAUAUACGUUUCCCCUUAGAGAGUGAUUUUUUUUAUAUUGUAACUAUUUGUUUCAGAGCCCAAAUGUCCCCCCUCCUUUACAUGAAGAAGUAGGGGGGAGGUUGGUAAUAAAAAAUUUUGAAACAGAGAAUGAAGAAAUAUCUGCUUUGUUUACAACUGGAGAGAAAAAAAGAUAAAACUUGGAAUUCAACCUAAAAAUGCAAAGUAAAAUGACAUAUUACAGUGAGAAUAUUCAUGUUAUUGUACACAUAUUUUAAUAAAAGUUCUAAAAUAAA
Pelodiscus sinensis (Chinese soft-shelled turtle) is the source of this 1979-nucleotide non-coding RNA. The record is from RefSeq and is a predicted model, not a curated record. NCBI's taxonomy places the organism in Eukaryota, Metazoa, Chordata, Testudines, Trionychidae.